GAUGAACGCUGGCGGCGUGCCUAAUACAUGCAAGUCGAGCGAACGGACGAGAAGCUUGCUUCUCUGAUGUUAGCGGCGGACGGGUGAGUAACACGUGGAUAACCUACCUAUAAGACUGGGAUAACUUCGGGAAACCGUAGCUAAUACCGGAUAAUAUUUUGAACUGCAUGGUUCAAAAGUGAAAGACGGUCUUGCUGUCACUUAUAGAUGGAUCCGCGCUGCAUUAGCUAGUUGGUAAGGUAACGGCUUACCAAGGCAACGAUGCAUAGCCGACCUGAGAGGGAGGUCGGACAGACUGGAACUGAGGCACGGUCCAGACUCCGAGGGGAGGCAGCAGUAGGGAAUCUUCCGCAAUGGGGGAAAGCCUGACGGAGCAACGCCGCGUGAGUGAUGAAGGUCUUCGGAUCGUAGAACGCUGUUAUUAGGGAAGAACAUAUGUGUAAGUAACUGUGAUCAUCUUGACGGUACCUGAUCAGAAAGCCACGGCUAACUACGUG
Molecule: ribosomal RNA, 497 nt
Filed under: uncultured bacterium
Lineage: Bacteria
Description: partial 16S ribosomal RNA
Rfam family: Bacterial small subunit ribosomal RNA
Source: RNAcentral